GUCUACAGCCAUACCACUGAAUGUGCCUGAUCCUGGCUGAUCUCAGAAGCUAAGCAGGGUUGGGCCUGGUUAGUACUUGGAUGGGAGAAAGAAAGGCGAAGGGA
RNAcentral lists this ribosomal RNA (104 nucleotides) under Piliocolobus tephrosceles (Ugandan red Colobus). Lineage: Eukaryota; Metazoa; Chordata; Mammalia; Primates; Cercopithecidae. The record is from RNAcentral.